UUUGACCUCGGAUCAGGUAGGGAUACCCGCUGAACUUAAGCAUAUCAAUAAGCGGAGG
RNAcentral lists this ribosomal RNA (58 nucleotides) under Morchella elata. Its description in RNAcentral is "partial 28S ribosomal RNA". It matches the Rfam family "Eukaryotic large subunit ribosomal RNA", at positions 1 to 56 of the family's 3401-position model. RNAcentral also lists the same sequence under 4 other names. Lineage: Eukaryota; Fungi; Ascomycota; Pezizomycetes; Pezizales; Morchellaceae. The record is from RNAcentral.